UCCACCCGCCUCAGCCUCCCAAAGUGCUGGGAUCACAGGCGCGAGCCACCGUGCACGGCCAAAAACACCUACUUUUAAUAAUAAUGAUGUAAGCAUUUUCAUUAAAGUCUUUAAUGGAUGUAUAAGACUUUGAAUGACCCUGGCCAUCGAGGGUGUCAUCCACGGGAGAGCCGGUCAGCCACGGGCUCCAUGGGCAGCUGCCCCGCACCGCGCCCACGCAGGCCCACCGUGCAGCCCCCAAGUCACCAGAGUUUAGGAAUCACUUCCAAAAGACACACCGUUGUGACCGGAGCCAUUGGCAAAUAUCAGGAUUUUUCAAAGCACACUUCAAUACAUCCUUCACUUUAAUUUAUAAAACAAAUGACGGAAUAGAAAAGUCUCCCCUGUGAUGAGCACAGUGUUACUCACAUUGUGUACAAGAACAGCCCAACUGGUAACCGGCACGCUGUUGGCAACACGGCAGUAUUUAGGUCAGUGCCUUAAAUAUUUAACAAAUCAAGGAGGGUCAUGGAAAGCAGUUUGCUUGUUAACCACUUCCGGGAUACACUGGGGGUCUCCCACUCAAGGUGGGGUCCCAGCAGCCCUGCUCCCCCGGCAGGUGUGACUUCAGCGGCUGCAGGCUGGGCCCCGCUACCUGGACAUCCCCAUGCUGGUCUGGGACACCUGUGUGAGACCCAGGUCGGCUCCUGGACCCUGCCCUGGGGCUUCUAACUUUCCGUCUUUGGAGGAGAGUCUCACUGGCUAAGGUUGGGAGUGUGGCUGGAACCCAUCUCCACAUUCCAUCCAGAAGCCUGAGCUGGGGGAGGGGCGGGGUGUGCCCAGCGCCGUUCUUGUCCCAGCACCUGGGGCUCGGGUGUGAAUCCACCACGUCGUGCUCAGCGCCAGGCAUGGAGCGGUGCCCUGAGAAACCUGAGUGUAGGGUGGACCACGCUCACCUGGUGGGUAUGACUUUGAGGCAAGGCAAGGCGUGGCGCGAACCUCCUAACUUGAGGUUUUCGUAUCUCCUCCCGAAGCCACCAGCCGCACGGUGGGGUGGAGCGGCCCCUGAGUCAUGGAGGCCUGGGGUCUCCGCCUGGCCAAGAGGGCUGCAUGGCAAUUUCCACACCUGUGCACCAGGCCCCACUCAGAGGCACAAGGUGGUGCGACCCCCCUCCCAGAGAGCUCAGAAGACGGCUCCGCCACACCUGACCCCUGGCAGCCGGCAGACCUGCCUCUAGGAAGCCUCGGCUCUGGGCAGCUGUCCCUUCACCGGAGGGGCACUUACACUCCCGCCCCCACCUGUGUCCUGCUGGCUCCUAACCUGCCCCCCUCCAUGUGGCUGUAUCGGAGACGUGGGGCAGGCGCCACUCACGGAAAAAAGGCAUCAGAGGGGCUUCCACAUCAUCGGAACUUUUAUUCCUCAGGACGCUACACGCUCCCUUUCCUGGCGGGGCAGGUCAGUGCAUCGAGUUCUGUUUCCGUGGAAAAUGUGCACCUUGGAAACUGCAUGACAGCCCCUCAGCAGGGUCCCCGCGGCCACCGCGACACAGGCUCAGCAGCAAGUUCCUCCAGCACGAAGCUGGCCUGCCCGGGCCCAGGUGUGAGGGACCGUUCUGCUCCCAGCAGCGCCUGCCGACGCUUCCCUCCGUGGUCUCGGCGCAAGCGUCUGUCCCUGGCUGCCCUCGGAGCCGUGCCCAGCCUGGCAUGCAUAUGCGGUGGUUAAGGAUACAGUUAAAGGGUCAAUCACGCAUGUCCACGACAGAGACGCAGCGGCCUCACACCGACUCCUCGGUGGACAGCAGUAAUGGGUUGAUGUACUCGAAGCCUUCGAACUCCGACUGGUCGAUCCUCUUUAUGGCAUCCCUGUGGGCAAAGGCGGCAGGGGGCGGGGGGGAUGACCUGUGUUCAUUCCCUCUGGGGAGGGGAGUCACAUUCGCAAAAGAAUCCUCCCCCAACGCCCACCGGAGAGAGGACGCCAGGCGGGCAGGACUCAAGGGCAGGCCGGGUCACCAGCCGCCCAAGGUGCCGGCCUGCCAUGGGGCUGCCCGGAGGGGGGGGUGCUCCGGGGUCCCCGCACCCAGUGGGACUUACUCAUCGUCUGGGGUCAGCUGCACGGGCUCGCUGGUGAACUGUGUGUCAAAGUUGUCCAGACCGUAGUCGUCCGUGAUCUGUGGCUGGAAUGGAGGGAGCGCCUGCUUCUUCUCCAGCUUGGAAAAACAAGGCAAGAAGGGUCAGCUCCGCGCGGGCAUCAUCCCUACCAGAUUGAGAGUUCCGCAUGCACUUGAAUCACAGAAUGAAACACUGAGAAACUCAGCA
Molecule: RNA transcript, 2295 nt
Organism: Macaca mulatta (Rhesus monkey)
Lineage: Eukaryota; Metazoa; Chordata; Mammalia; Primates; Cercopithecidae
Source: RefSeq, a predicted model, not a curated record